Rattus norvegicus (Norway rat) is the source of this 69-nucleotide non-coding RNA. NCBI's taxonomy places the organism in Eukaryota, Metazoa, Chordata, Mammalia, Rodentia, Muridae. The record is from Rfam.
GGGGAUUUAGCUCAGUGGUAGAGCGCUUGCCUAGCAAGUGCAAGGCCCUGGGUUCGGUCCCCAGCUCUA